UCCUUAGCAAAAGAUCCAGCUAAUUCAUUACCAAGAAUCCAAUUUGAAACCUUACAAAAACUAAAGAAGACACAUAUUUGUAUGAAAUUUUUACCAAUUAC
Haliotis rubra (blacklip abalone) is the source of this 101-nucleotide long non-coding RNA. RefSeq lists it as uncharacterized. The record is from RefSeq and is a predicted model, not a curated record. NCBI's taxonomy places the organism in Eukaryota, Metazoa, Mollusca, Gastropoda, Lepetellida, Haliotidae. The transcript is spliced from 3 exons.